UCCCGAAUAGCUCAGUUGGUUAGAGUGUGGUACCAGGUUGCAGGUUCAAUCCCUGUAUGGGAC
Molecule: transfer RNA, 63 nt
Filed under: Podarcis lilfordi (Lilford's wall lizard)
Lineage: Eukaryota; Metazoa; Chordata; Lepidosauria; Squamata; Lacertidae
Description: tRNA.Leu
Source: RNAcentral